This 253-nucleotide ribosomal RNA is filed under the name uncultured bacterium. RNAcentral's name for it is "partial 16S ribosomal RNA". It matches the Rfam family "Bacterial small subunit ribosomal RNA", at positions 524 to 776 of the family's 1533-position model. The record is from RNAcentral.
UACGAAGGAUCCAAGCGUUGUCCGGAUUUACUGGGUUUAAAGCGUGCGCAGGCGGUUUGUUAAGACAGAUGUGAAAUCCCCGGGCUUAACCUGGGAACUGCAUUUGUGACUGGCAAGCUAGAGUAUGGCAGAGGGGGGUAGAAUUCCACGUGUAGCAGUGAAAUGCGUAGAGAUGUGGAGGAAUACCGAUGGCGAAGGCAGCCCCCUGGGCCAAUACUGACGCUCAUGCACGAAAGCGUGGGGAGCAAACAGG